UGGAGAACACACACCUGAAGAAAUUGACUCUGGCUCCCAAAGGCUGGUAGCCAAUCAGAACAGAGCCCUUCUCCAUCAUCCUGCCUUUGAUUCGAGGAGCUACCUGCAGAGAGACAAAGUGAAGAUCACCAUCGGUCCAGGUGGCAGGCCUCGCAGACUGGGAGGGAUGUACCAGAAACACACAUUACUAUGCUCUGGCUGUGUGAAAGAGCAGAGGACAAAAAUGCCCAUUGAUCGUACAGAUACUCGGCAUUCUCUAAGCAUUCGUUGACCCGAGAUCCAAAGCCCUCUGAACCCUGAGAGAGACGGUGACAGACAAAUUCACAGGUAAA
This is a long non-coding RNA of Xiphias gladius (swordfish), 332 nucleotides long. RefSeq lists it as uncharacterized. NCBI's taxonomy places the organism in Eukaryota, Metazoa, Chordata, Actinopteri, Istiophoriformes, Xiphiidae. The transcript has 3 exons. The record is from RefSeq and is a predicted model, not a curated record.